AAAAAAACCGGCCAAGAGCAUGUCGGGCCACGCUCAGUGUAGGGUUCCGUAGUUACUCUUCCGUCACAAUAAGCUAAACUGGAGCUUAAAGUGUAGUAAAUGGUACCUUUCACCCGAGUUAAACAAAUAGGCAAAUUUGCAUAAUCAGUACGUAAUUAAAGUAAGUCUUUUUACUAUGAAGGGAAAACUUUUUGCGAUAACUCAAAAACAGCUAAACUGAUCAUGUCCGCUAUAGUUUUCAUUUAAUGUCUUUCUUAAGCUCUACUUCCACGAUUUUUUUCAUAUUUUUUGGACCUAUGGUUCAAAAGUUAGAGGGGGGGGGGACACAUUUUUUUUCUUUCGGAGCGAUUAUGUCCGAAUAUAUUCACUUUAUCAAAAAAUGUUUCUUGAAAACCCCUAUUAGUUUUGAAAGACCUUUCCAACGAUACCCCACACUUUAGGGUUGAAGCGAAAAAAAAAAUCAGCCCCACUUUACGUGUACCCUAAAAAAAAUUAAAUUUCUAGAUUUUAUUGUACGACUUUGUCGGCUUUAUUGAUUUAUAUAUCCAUGCCAAAUUUCAGCUUUCUAGCACUAACAACCACGGAGCGAAGCCUCGGACGGACAGACAGACAGACAGACAGACAGACGGACAUGGCGAAACUAUAAGGGUUCCUAGUUGACUACGGAACCCUAAAAAUGAAAAACCUGAACGUAGUUUGAUGGUAAAAAGGCCCAAGAGCAUUGCCAUCAUUUCUUAUAGUUCCGAAAAUCCCCAGCAGCUGCAAAUGCAACAGUAUAUUUAAUUAUGAAUAAUUCACCUGUUAAAGUUUACAUUGCCAGAUUUCUGCAGCGUGUGUAAUAUUGGGUACUCGACUCUAAUUUACAUUUUUAUAUAGUUUAAUAGCUUUUACGGGAACAAUAGGAUGCGAGCAGUUGUGUCAGUGCCGUUUAACUAGAUUUAUCCUAACUUUUAUAUUCCCUAUUUUUUUAUGCAAUAUAAAAACUUAAUUAUUUUUAUCUGAUGUCAGAUAAAAAUAAGUAAUAUACAUAGGUACAGUCAAUAACCAUCAGAUUUCCAGUACUUACUUAAUCAAUAAAAAUGCCAUUUUACUGAAAGCUCUCGUUGGUAUGUUUAGUUAAGACAAAAUAUGAUGUAUUUUCUGCAGACAGUGCCAUAUUUCAUGUACGUUGUCUUACAUCUGACGACUUCAUUUAGCUUUUAUAUUAUGUGAGCGUAAAUAUGAAUAUUUCAAACUUAUUACGUUUUUCAAAUAUAGCUAUGAAUGGUAAUAUAACCCUUUUCUAUUUUUUCUAGGCAUGGUACGAGUUAUCGACCACCACACGCUAAUAGAAUUUCAAAUUUAGCAUUUAAAUUGCACUUUCGCGAAAUGAAUAAUCAAAGAUAUAUAUUUGGAUUUUUUGGGAAAACUUUCUACAUUUGUGCAGUACUUACCUAUAUAGAAAAGGGUUACAGUUUACCGUCUCGAUGAAAUAAUUACAACCACUGGAAAAUUUGACAGUGUUACAAACGAGGAUAAAAGUUUUAUUUAGCAUAACACAUAUGUAAAUGAUAUAUCUGAAGUAAAACUACUUUUAAAUAGCCUCACGAUGUUUGAUGUCAACAUGUCAUCUAUAUUAACAGAACGCAGACUUCUGGAUGAGACUAGCCCAGGACCGGGAUAAGCCGCGUACACGAAGAGAGGCCUAUGCUCAACAGUGGGCGACCGGAGGCUAUAAUGACGAUGAGUUAUAUAAAUACGUUCAGUUAAUAUGGAGAACAUAUACCUAAUACAGUAAUGAUAGGCGUUUUUAGUGAACUACAUUUAACGAUAUGUAAUCUGCAGUGCACUACAUGCAGCUACCAUCUUGGAUCUUCUUCUAAAUGAAUGCCCUAAUAAUUGAGAAAAUAAGGCGAUACAAAGUUGUUCUUCAUUAACAUGCAUUUUACAUAUUAAGAUGAAUUUAUUUCAGAAGUACUGAUUUAUUAAAAAUAUAGGAUUUGUUUUAGCAAUUGUUUUGUUAUGAAAUGUUUACUUCAAAGUUCCAAGCUCCGUGGUUUCAAAUAGCACUACCCAACACUACCAAGUAUCUUGAUCUCUGACAGUAACUAUUCCAAAUGCGAAAUCAUAAAAGUUGGCGAGAUCGCAAGGUGACUAAAAUGUGACUAACAUAAAUUAUGUCCCUACCUAGUUUGUUACUAUAUUUUCAUAAACGGGACUUAAUUAGUGAAUUACGAGUAUUUAAUUUAUGUAGAUAUACUUUUUGAACAUACUGACGUUCAAGAUCACAGAAAGACUGAUAAGCGCGCGUUUUAACAUCUUUGACACUAAGGGCCACUUGCACCAUCACCAGUGUUACCAGUACAAUUUGACACUGAGUUAGCGGUUUAACCAGUUACACCUGGAGUUACCAGUGUUACCAGUACAAUUUAACACUCAGUUAACGGUUUAACCGGUUAAACCUGGAGUUACCAGUGUUACCAGUACAAUUUGACACUAAGUUAACGGUUUAACCGGUUAAACCUGGAGUUACCAGUGUUACCAGUACAAUUUGACACUAAGUUAACGGUUUAACCGGUUAAACCUGGAGUUACCAGAAUUACCAGUACAAUUUGACACUGGGUUAACAGUUUAAUGUGAUGCACGCUGCCUCAGACAAAUGUGCAGGCAACCAUAUUAAAUGUAUGGAACCGAUUGCCACUCUGAUGCGUCAUGACACAACACAACAUGACAUGUCAGACAAAUGUGUAACCGGCUUACGCCUCCGGAUCAAGUGCGGAUAGUCCGAAGAACGCGCAGGUAGAAUAGCUACGUAACCGUUUUGUCAGUCAGUCUUUCUGCAACAAAGAACAAAGCAAAGUUUAAAACAUCAGUAUGAUUAAAUAAUUCUAAGUUUACGUGAUUAAGUCCCGUAUAGGUACAAAUUAGAACCCGGCGACGUGUAGAGACCGUAGACGACAACUACGUACAGACUUCGUGUGGCGGCCUGUCGUAAUAUGAUCAUGGACAUAUCGCUGUGUUAAUUUCGAAUCUGACUGCUUACCGCAGCGCCGUAUUUAGUUGGUUCCAAUUGUUUCGUGACGUCAGCGGCACCACUGGGGGCCUACGGCGAAAACAGAAAUUCGCCAAUUGCGGGGAUCUUACCAUUUCGACCAUAGCCCAGGACUAUAAUCGCAAAAAUCGAGGUUCAUCAAUUGCGGGCAUUUUUCUCUGUCACUCUAAUUACGUCUUAGUGAGAGUAAAAGAGAAAGAUCCCAAUUUGCGAAUUCUGAUUUUCGCGGUAGGCCGGUGGUCUGCGCUCGGGCUCGGCGACGUGUAGCUGACUUCGUCUCGUUGAUCGUGGUUUGCAGUCGCCUUACGUCGCCGGGUUCCAACUUGUACCUUAAUGCGUAGUCCCGUCACACCAUCGUUCAUAUAGACUAAAUUUAAUGCAAUAGUUCAUCAGCAUCACUUACCACUCUGGAACUAAGGUUGUAACUCUAUAUUUAAAGUUUGAAGGCAAUCAUGUGUAGAUAUAGAUACUUAUAUGUUUUUACGUAAAGUUGUAGUUUAUGAUGUACAAACAGAUAGCUAAAGAUUUACGAAAUAAAUAGAAUCGCAUUUAA
This is a long non-coding RNA of Cydia pomonella (codling moth), 3584 nucleotides long. RefSeq lists it as uncharacterized. NCBI's taxonomy places the organism in Eukaryota, Metazoa, Arthropoda, Insecta, Lepidoptera, Tortricidae. The record is from RefSeq and is a predicted model, not a curated record. The transcript has 2 exons.